Molecule: ribosomal RNA, 420 nt
Filed under: uncultured microorganism
Description: bacterial SSU rRNA
Rfam family: Bacterial small subunit ribosomal RNA
Source: RNAcentral
GAGUUUGAUCGUGGCUCAGAUUGAACGCUGGCGGCAUGCCUUACACAUGCAAGUCGAACGGCAGCAUGAUCUAGCUUGCUAGAUUGAUGGCGAGUGGCGAACGGGUGAGUAAUACAUCGGAACGUGCCCUGUAGUGGGGGAUAACUAGUCGAAAGAUUAGCUAAUACCGCAUACGACCUGAGGGUGAAAGUGGGGGACCGCAAGGCCUCAUGCUAUAGGAGCGGCCGAUGUCUGAUUAGCUAGUUGGUGGGUAAAGGCCCACCAAGGCGACGAUCAGUAGCUGGUCUGAGAGGACGAUCAGCCACACUGGGACUGAGACACGGCCCAGACUCCUACGGGAGGCAGCAGUGGGGAAUUUUGGACAAUGGGCGAAAGCCUGAUCCAGCAAUGCCGCGUGUGUGAAGAAGGCCUCGGUGUAAG